UUUUUUUUUUUUGUAAAACCAAAUAAUUGAAGAUGAUUUCAUUCCAAUACGUCCCAUUUCAUCCAUUUUCAUCUAUCCAAAUUGACUUAUGGAGGGUGUAUUUCUCUGAAGAUUUUAAAUUUGAAUCUCAAUAGACAAUGAAAUUGAUUGAUAGGUCACAUUAGGUCUCUAAGGCCAGAUAGGUAGAGUUAAAAAAAACCAGCAAAAAUAUCAAAAGCAACAAAAUACAAAAUUCCAACCACUUUAAAUCAUAAGCAUUAACUUAGUAUACAUAUUCCCUACUUGCUAAUAACAACCUAGCGGCAUUGUUUUACAAAACACCUAAAUUGAAUACAAACAUAAACACUAGCAUUCAAGCACAGCAGAAACCAAACAAAGAAGAAUCGAACAGAACAAAAUACCAAAACUUAUCGAGUCGAACACGGCAAUAGAAUGGAGUUGAACGGCGGCGAGCAACUGGAGUUGAAUGACGACGAGCUAAUGGUUUGAACAACGGUGGCAAAAUGAUUCAAUCGGUUUCCAUCGAUUUAACUAUAUCAAUCAACCCAAUCAACUUCAUUACCUAUUUUAAUGAUUUAUAAUUAAACUUUAAUUACAUCAUAUAGGAUUAGAAUCUUCAUUUAUUAAUCUGUAUAUUUUUUUCUUUCUACAACUAUUAAUAAAAAAAAAUAGUGUUUACGUUUAAUAUCAAAUUUUUAUAUGAGAUUAAUUACUAUACACUGUCAGUGUAAAAAGUUUUACACCGUCGAUUCAUCACCAUCAUCCGUUUGUAUUACUUUAUAGAUUUUUAAAAUAAAAGUCAAACUUCUUUUAAUAUUCGACGUCUAUGAUUAAUUGACGGUGUAAAAUCCUUUUACAUUGUCAGUGUAUUUCAAUUAAGCUCUUUUUAUAUUUCAAAACAAAACAAUAGUUUUGAAGUGUUAUUUUUGCACUGACUUUAUUGGUUUUCCAUUGUAGUGGUGUGACUCUAUAGGAAAAUGAUUCUAGGGAAAAUUUAAAUCUGUUUUUGUGCUGUGAUAUUUCCUCCUUGUUGUUUCCAUAUUUAGAGAAGAUAUGAAUGACUACAUAUAGUAGUAGUUUUAUAUUGCAAUUCAAAUUUGGCAUUAGAUUCUUGCUUAAAACAAGGGAAGCCAAUAUAAAUGUGGAUAAAUAAAGCAAUUGCUCUCUGACAAGAUAAUUCAUGUUGAUCACAUACACAGAAUGUCAUGUGAUGAAUAAAUCUACAUCAUAUAUGGAACAAUAUGAGCAAAAAGUUGAAUAAAACAUUUAUUUGUAACUUUAUUGUUUUGCUAUUAUACACUUGAUGCAUAACAUAGUUUUUGUUAAUGCAUACAGAAAACUUUGAAAAUCUCAGCCUCUCAGCUUGUUGAGAGUUACUGAGUUACAUGUAUAUAUAUACUUCAGUUGUGAAGUUACAAUAAAAGCUAAUAACAAUAACACAAAAUCAAAAGCUUCUCAGAAUAGCAUUUGGCUUUUUCUGAUUGCGGCUAUACCAAGACAGAAGAAAUUUCCCAUUGUAUGAACUUGAUCUCUUCAUUGGACUAGCAACACCCUGCAAAUAUCUUGUUGACCUAAAAGAAAAGCUACUACUACCACCUUUGGAUGUAGUUGCUAAAUUCUCACUUCCAUUAACCUUUGAAACACUAUCUUCAUCACCAUUACAUUCCUUUGACAGAACAGUUGCAACAACACUAUUGAUACCUAC
RNAcentral lists this long non-coding RNA (1705 nucleotides) under Lathyrus oleraceus (garden pea). RNAcentral's name for it is "Pisum sativum (pea) long non-coding RNA (PSAT_LNC004056)". The record is from RNAcentral. Lineage: Eukaryota; Viridiplantae; Streptophyta; Magnoliopsida; Fabales; Fabaceae.